Molecule: unclassified non-coding RNA, 390 nt
Filed under: soil metagenome
Description: partial contains 5.8S ribosomal RNA, internal transcribed spacer 2, and large subunit ribosomal RNA
Rfam family: 5.8S ribosomal RNA (bases 1-122)
Source: RNAcentral
GAUGAAGAACGUAGCGAAAUGCGAUACUUGGUGUGAAUUGCAGAAUCCCGUGAACCAUCGAGUCUUUGAACGCAAGUUGCGCCCGAAGCCAUUAGGCCGAGGGCACGCCUGCCUGGGCGUCACACGUCGUUGCCCCCCCAUCUACUCCUUCGGGAUUGCGGGGGGCGGAUGAUGGCCUCCCGUGCGCCUCGUCGCGCGGUUGGCAUAAAUGCCAAGUCCUCGGCGACGCACGCCACGACAAUCGGUGGUUGCGAAACCUCGGUUGCCCGUCGUGUGCGGUCGUCGCGCAUCGAGGGCUCGAAAAAAUUGCCGGGCUCCGGCUCGGCUUUCAACGCGACCCCAGGUCAGGCGGGGUUACCCGCUGAAUUUAAGCAUAUCAAUAAGCGGAGA